GAAAGUUUGCUCUUUUAGUAUUUCUCCAGUAGGGGUUUUCAAGGAGAAGUCCUAC
RNAcentral lists this small nuclear RNA (55 nucleotides) under Salmo salar (Atlantic salmon). RNAcentral describes it as "U7 small nuclear RNA (ENSSSAG00000115232.1, ENSSSAG00020081652.1, ENSSSAG00070011179.1, ENSSSAG00075063533.1)". It matches the Rfam family "U7 small nuclear RNA". From Rfam's summary of the family: Animal histone pre-mRNAs are spliced by a different mechanism than nuclear pre-mRNAs and self-splicing introns. This processing involves the U7 snRNP, which contains only one RNA species: U7. Lineage: Eukaryota; Metazoa; Chordata; Actinopteri; Salmoniformes; Salmonidae. The record is from Rfam by way of RNAcentral.